CAGUAGCCGCGGUAAUACGAAGGGGGCUAGCGUUGCUCGGAAUGACUGGGCGUAAAGGGCGCGUGGGCGGCGGCCAAAGUCAGGCGUGAAAUUCCCGGGCUCAACCUGGGGGCUGCGUUUGAUACUUGGUUGCUUGAGUGGGGAAGAGGGUCGUGGAAUUCCCAGUGUAGAGGUGAAAUUCGUAGAUAUUCGGAAGAACACCAGUGGCGAAGGCGGCUCACUGGCUCAUUCUAGACGCUGAGGUGCGAGAGCGUGGGGAGCAAACAGGAUUAGAUACCCCUGUAGUCCCUGUCUCUUAUAA
RNAcentral lists this ribosomal RNA (301 nucleotides) under uncultured bacterium. RNAcentral's name for it is "partial 16S ribosomal RNA". It matches the Rfam family "Bacterial small subunit ribosomal RNA", at positions 509 to 809 of the family's 1533-position model. The record is from RNAcentral.